ACUCCUACGGGAGGCAGCAGUAAGGAAUAUUGGUCGAAUGGAGGCAACUCUGAACCAGCCAUGCCGCGUGCAGGAUGACUGCCCUAUGGGUUGUAAACUGCUUUUCUACAGGAAGAAACGCUAUGAUUCAUCAUAGUUGACGGUAUUGUAGGAAUAAGCACCGGCUAACUCCGUGCCAGCAGCCGCGGUAAAUACGGAGGGUGCAAGCGUUAUCCGGAUUUAUUGGGUUUAAAGGG
This 236-nucleotide ribosomal RNA is filed under the name uncultured bacterium. RNAcentral describes it as "partial 16S ribosomal RNA". It matches the Rfam family "Bacterial small subunit ribosomal RNA", at positions 335 to 567 of the family's 1533-position model. The record is from RNAcentral.